RNAcentral lists this transfer RNA (57 nucleotides) under Scorpiops jendeki. RNAcentral describes it as "tRNA-His". Lineage: Eukaryota; Metazoa; Arthropoda; Arachnida; Scorpiones; Euscorpiidae. The record is from RNAcentral.
GCUUAAUUAGUUUAAAAUAAAACAUUAGAUUGUGGAGCUAAAAAUUAAUAUUAGGCA